CUAACACAUGCAAGUCGAGGGGCAGCGAAGAGGUAGCAAUACCUUUGUCGGCGACCGGCGCACGGGUGAGUAACACGUAUGCAAUCCACCUGUAACAGGGGGAUAACCCGGAGAAAUCCGGACUAAUACCCCAUAAUAUGGGCUCUCCGCAUGGAGGGUUCAUUAAAGAGAGCAAUUUUGGUUACAGACGAGCAUGCGCUCCAUUAGCCAGUUGGCGGGGUAACGGCCCACCAAAGCGACGAUGGAUAGGGGUUCUGAGAGGAAGGUCCCCCACAUUGGAACUGAGACACGGUCCAAACUCCUACGGGAGGCAGCAGUGAGGAAUAUUGGUCAAUGGUCGGCAGACUGAACCAGCCAAGUCGCGUGAGGGAAGACGGCCCUACGGGUUGUAAACCUCUUUUGUCGGAGAGUAAAGUACGCUACGUGUAGUGUAUUGCAAGUAUCCGAAGAAAAAGCAUCGGCUAACUCCGUGCCAGCAGCCGCGGUAAUACGGAGGAUGCGAGCGUUAUCCGGAUUUAUUGGGUUUAAAGGGUGCGUAGGCGGCACGCCAAGUCAGUGGUGAAAUUUCCGGGCUCAACCCGGAGUGUGCCGUUGAAACUGGCGAGCUAGAGUACACAAGAGGCAGGCGGAAUGCGUGGUGUAGCGGUGAAAUGCAUAGAUAUCACGCAGAACCCCGAUUGCGAAGGCAGCCUGCUAGGGUGAAACAGACGCUGAGGCAC
This 719-nucleotide ribosomal RNA is filed under the name uncultured Bacteroidales bacterium. RNAcentral's name for it is "bacterial SSU rRNA". It matches the Rfam family "Bacterial small subunit ribosomal RNA", at positions 48 to 754 of the family's 1533-position model. Lineage: Bacteria; Pseudomonadati; Bacteroidota; Bacteroidia; Bacteroidales. The record is from RNAcentral.